CCUACGGGGGGCUGCAGUCGAGGAUCUUCGGCAAUGGGCGAAAGCCUGACCGAGCGACGCCGCGUGUGCGAUGAAGGCCUUCGGGUUGUAAAGCACUGUCGUGGGGGAGAAAGCCCGCAAGGGUUGAUCGACCUCAGGAGGAAGCUCGGGCUAAGUUCGUGCCAGCAGCCGCGGUAAGACGAACCGAGCAAACGUUAUUCGGAAUCACUGGGCUUAAAGGGCGCGUAGGCGGGCCAUCAAGUCAGGGGUGAAAGCCUCCAGCUCAACUGGAGAAG
Molecule: ribosomal RNA, 275 nt
Filed under: uncultured bacterium
Lineage: Bacteria
Description: partial 16S ribosomal RNA
Rfam family: Bacterial small subunit ribosomal RNA
Source: RNAcentral